GGGGCAGGGAGGCCGGACAGCGAUGCCUGCUGCGUGAGGCCGGCGCACCGCGUUCCUGCACGUGGACUCGGGCGUCUCAGAAAUGAAACAAGAGAAAGAAACAAAACACUGAAGUUGGAGAAAGGCUGACAGCCCCUGACGCCAGAGCAAGAUCCUUGAGGGCGACAGGCAGUGGCCUGACACGUGCAGGCACGGUGUUCUUUCCCAUGGGACACGCCUUGGGUCACGGGUCACCAUGAGCAGGACAUGGAUAUGUCUGCAAGCAGGACUAGCAGAGGCCCGUGGCUUCCUCUCUGUGGACCAGCAGAAGGUCCAACCCAGACCACACAGCAGUGACCACUCAGGCUCUGAAGCCGGACCAGGACCUGCCUCUCGGCCUCACCCCUCCUGAGGGCCAGCCCUUCACUCACUCUUGACCUGGGGGCGUCCCAUUUGGGCUCCCUCCAGCCGUCGGCCAGCACCUUCAUGUACAUGGCUUCCAAAUGGACCCCAACUGAUGGCACUCCCCCAGAGGCCCUCUCAGCCCUGUGUGCCGAACCAGGACCCCCAGGGCUCCCAGCACUGCCCUCCAAGGAGGACGAGGACAUGGGCAGCCAGCACGGCAGCCUCGGUCACCUCCCCUGAGAUGUGCCCUUCUCUCCAGUUCCCCUGCCUGUGGCCGUCUCUCCUGAGCUAAGGAUGAGGAGCCCAGGCUUGGCCCCCGCCAGGAGCUCCAGAGGUUGAGGGCCGAGAGGUUGCCCGGAAGGAGGCUGCUCACAGCUGAAGCCAGGGUUCCUGGCCCUCAGCCCUGGGAUGGGGCUGGCUCUCUGUGGCUCCUCUGCCUCUCCCACCCCAUCCCCCACUUGUCUCCACUGCUCUUCCAGCUCUGAGGUCACUGUACCCUAAUUAAACACUUG
Molecule: long non-coding RNA, 896 nt
Organism: Eptesicus fuscus (big brown bat)
Lineage: Eukaryota; Metazoa; Chordata; Mammalia; Chiroptera; Vespertilionidae
Exons: 3
Source: RefSeq, a predicted model, not a curated record